CGUAUCACCCAAGACAACUUUACGGAGUUGACGAUUGACGGAGCGAAGCGACGUCAAAGCGUUCAUUAAAGUCGAGUUGGCUUAGGGAUACGUUCGUUGGGUAGGGGAGCGUUCUGUAAGCCUGUGAAGGUGUGUCGUGAGGCAUGCUGGAGGUAUCAGAAGUGCGAAUGCUGACAUAAGUAACGAUAAAGCGGGUGAAAAGCCCGCUCGCCGGAAGACCAAGGGUUCCUGUCCAACGUUAAUCGGGGCAGGGUGAGUCGACCCCUAAGGCGAGGCCGAAAGGCGUAGUCGAUGGGAAACGGGUUAAUAUUCCCGUACUUGGUGUUACUGCGAAGGGGGGACGGAGAAGGCUAUGUUGGCCGGGCGACGGUUGUCCCGGUUUAAGCGUGUAGGUGUGUGUUCCAGGUAAAUCCGGUUCAC
This 420-nucleotide ribosomal RNA is filed under the name Salmonella enterica subsp. enterica. RNAcentral's name for it is "partial 23S ribosomal RNA". It matches the Rfam family "Bacterial large subunit ribosomal RNA", at positions 1154 to 1550 of the family's 2925-position model. The record is from RNAcentral. Lineage: Bacteria; Pseudomonadati; Pseudomonadota; Gammaproteobacteria; Enterobacterales; Enterobacteriaceae. RNAcentral also lists the same sequence under 1 other name.